Molecule: ribosomal RNA, 459 nt
Filed under: uncultured bacterium
Lineage: Bacteria
Description: partial 16S ribosomal RNA
Rfam family: Bacterial small subunit ribosomal RNA
Source: RNAcentral
CCUACGGGGUGCAGCAGUGAGGAAUAUUGGUCAAUGGGCGCGAGCCUGAACCAGCCAAGUCGCGUGAGGGAAGACGGUCCUAUGGAUUGUAAACCUCUUUUGUCGGGGAGCAAAAGACGCCACGCGUGGCGUUCCGAGAGUACCCGAAGAACAAGCAUCGGCUAACUCCGUGCCAGCAGCCGCGGUAAUACGGAGGAUGCGAGCGUUAUCCGGAUUUAUUGGGUUUAAAGGGUGCGCAGGCGGAAGAGCAAGUCAGCGGUAAAAUUGAGAGGCUCAACCUCUUCGAGCCGUUGAACCUGGUGUGCGUGAGUGAGUGAGAAGUAUGCGGAAUGCGUGGUGUAGCGGUUAAAUGCAUAGAUAUCACGCAGAACUCCGAUUGCGAAGGCAGCAUACCGGCGCUCAACUGACGCUCAUGCACGAAAGUGUGGGUAUCGAACAGGAUUAGAUACCCUGGUAGUC